UUCUCUCUCUUUCAAUUUCGGGCCUCACCCCCGUCACAGGCUCACACCAAGAGGCAAUAGACUAUCUAACUGGUCAUCAUCUAAACCCUACUUUCUCCCCCUAGGUUCUGUUACAGAGAGCAAGUAUGCUGCGUCGGAAAAUUAGGUUAACGAAGGAGUACUUGUACAGAAAGGGCUUGGAAGGCAAACAACGGUUGCUCUAUGAGAAGAAGCGCAAGAUCAGAGAAGCUCUAGAAGAGGGAAAACCAAUACCCACUGAGCUUCGAAAUGAGGAAGCUGCCCUUCGUGAAGAAAUUGAUCUGGAGGACGAAAACACUGCCGAGCCAAGGUCACAUAUUGAUGAUGAGUAUGCAAACGCAUCACAGAGGGACCCCAAAAUUUUAAUAACUACUUCCAGGGAUCCGAGUGCUCCGCUGAUACAAUUUGCAAAGGAACUGAAACUUGUUUUUCCUAAUGCACAACAAAUGAAUCGUGGUGGCCAGGUUAUUUCUGAAAUCAUUGAAACUUGCCGCGCACACGAUUUUACAGAUGUUGUGUUGGUUCAUGAGCAUCGUGGUGUACCAGAUGGCUUGAUUAUAAGCCACCUUCCUUUUGGUCCAACAGCUUAUUUUCAACUGCUCAAUGUGGUUACAAGACAUGACAUCAAAGAUAAGAAAACCAUGGGAACGAUGCCUCAGGUUUAUCCACAUUUGAUUCUCAACAAUUUCACGACUAAGUUGGGUGAGAGGACAGCAAAUAUUUUAAAGCAUCUCUUUCCAGUUCCAAAGCAGGACACGAAACGCAUAAUCACUUUCGCCAAUCAGUCUGACUACAUUUCAUUCAGUUUGAAGAACAUACAGGCAUCAUACUUAUGAGAAGCACGGAGGCCCUAAAUCCGUUGAGCUGAAGGAGGUUGGUCCUCGGUUUGAAUUGAGGCUUUUUAAGAUUAAGUUAGGAACAGUGGAUCAGAAUGAAGCCCAGACUGAAUGGGUUAUCAGACCAUACAUGAACACAGCCAAGAAACAGAAGUUUAUGGGGGAUUGAUAAACUACAAUUUUUACCUACAAUUUUGGUAACUAAUCCUUUGUAUGAUUCAACCAGCUGACCUCUUUUGGGCUUAUUGAUACAAUCAUCAGACUAUCCAGCCUCUUCAUCUUUUUCUGAUUUUUCUUCAGUGCGACUCCCGAUUCUUCGAAACUAGGGUAUGUUAGUAAUUUUCAUUUGUUUUUGUGCUUCUUUUAAAUUAAAAGAAACAGAUGAGAGCCGUUGUGUUGAAAUUACACAUGGUUCUGAAACUAAAAACUGAAAUGUAAAAAGUUAUCUUAAUUUUAUUUGCUUUCACACUUUUCUUCUUCA
RNA transcript from Prunus dulcis (almond), 1335 nucleotides. It is a transcript of the gene named U3 small nucleolar ribonucleoprotein protein IMP4-like, with no coding region annotated. The record is from RefSeq and is a predicted model, not a curated record. The transcript is spliced from 9 exons. Lineage: Eukaryota; Viridiplantae; Streptophyta; Magnoliopsida; Rosales; Rosaceae.